Molecule: long non-coding RNA, 1387 nt
Filed under: Chrysemys picta bellii (western painted turtle)
Lineage: Eukaryota; Metazoa; Chordata; Testudines; Emydidae
Description: lncRNA (ENSCPBG00000007622.1)
Source: RNAcentral
AUGUCACUGCUGCUAAAGGCCUGGCUGGGACAGUGCUUGCCAGGCAGUGCCCCGAGCUCUGGGCAAUAUCUUAGCACACUGUGGCUCAGAUUUGUUCUCCAGGAUUUUCAUGGGGCAGUGCAGGCUGGUCUGGUGUCAGCAUUCCCAGCCACCAGUGAAGGAGCCAGGAAAGGAAGCUGCCAGUCCAUGCUGGAACCCAGGAAUCCUGCCACUGGCGCUGGAGCCAAUGAAGCUUGGGGUGAGCCAUCCAUUUAGGAAUUGCAGCUGACCAGCCCCGGAGCCAGUGAGCCCCUCAGCCAGCCCAUAAGCAGCGUUUCAAGAGGCAGGGUGAAGCCUUUGUACAUUCAUUCUGAGAUGGGAGGUCAGAGCUGUCCUGGGGAAAAGAAGAGGCGCUCGAAUGUAAAGCCCACCACAGUCAAGGCGUGCUUGUGGGUGAAGACGGCUGUGAUGAGGAGCAGCCCAGUGAUAACGGGUGGAACUGGAAGUGAAGGGUAGACACCGCAGAGGAUCUGUGACUUCAGCGAGCAGCUGAACCGACCACAAGGCAUUGUUCCAGACCCCAAGCUUUAGAGUGUCCUUUAAAGCCAAGGGCAGCUGCUUGUGCUCAGCACCUCUGAAAAGCCCCGGAUCCUUGGCCGCUUUUGAAAAUGUAGCUACAUGUGACCCAGCAAAAGCUGCAGGGAGAGUCAGUGUCCAAGCUGGCGUUAGGAUACCCAGCCCGCGUCUGGAGGCUGCCAAGGCCAACCUGGACAGGCUUCAAGCAGACAGUUUGUCAUCAGCCGUAGGUGUGAUCGGAACGUGCCUCUGAGCGAGAGCUCAGAACAGAACGGAGCGUGAAAUCUGAGUCCCAUCACAAACGCUGAGCUCAUGCAGUCACUAUGCAAACAACUGCCUCCCUCCAUUUAGCUCUGUGAACCCAGCCUGGGGGAGUGACUCUGCAUGUUGAUGGUGGAGCCCCCACCCAACAGGAGCCAUUUUUAGACAUGAUUUAAGUGCCCACAUAACCUGAAUGCCCAGGCCAGUGUGUGCUUUAAGAACUGUACGGUCUGUGAUACUUAUCAAACAGAACAUGAGGCCUUUAUGUGUUGAUCUUUAUGAGGUCCCUGGGCCUGUCCUGUUACUGCCUGACUGCUCCAUCCAGAGGGGUGUGGAAGAGCAAUGCGGGGCUGCCUUGCUGGUCUUCUUGCUAGUCUGCAACUAGUCUGUCAGAUUCUGACCCUUCUGUGGGAGAUCAAAAAGCCAAGAAGGUGAAAGGGGCCCACGUGAUCUUGCACUGCUAGGACUCCCUAGGGAAGUCCAAGUCCCCAUAUUUCCUGUAUCAAACACUGUCCCUUUUUAAUACACCCUUGGUGUGUGGUGAAUAAACCUCCAUCCCCAGAGUGCUCCA